GGCCCGGUGGUGAAAUUGGUAUACACGCAAGACUUAAAAUCUUGUUGCAGCAAUGCAGUGUGGGUUCGAGUCCCACCCGGGCCA
Non-coding RNA from Candidatus Curtissbacteria bacterium, 84 nucleotides. NCBI's taxonomy places the organism in Bacteria, Candidatus Curtissiibacteriota. The record is from Rfam.